Molecule: small RNA, 527 nt
Filed under: uncultured Fusobacterium sp.
Lineage: Bacteria; Fusobacteriati; Fusobacteriota; Fusobacteriia; Fusobacteriales; Fusobacteriaceae
Description: bacterial SSU rRNA
Rfam family: Bacterial small subunit ribosomal RNA (bases 1-341)
Source: RNAcentral
CAUGCCCCUUAUACGCUGGGCUACACACGUGCUACAAUGGGUAGUACAGAGAGUCGCAAAGCCGUGAGGUGGAGCUAAUCUCAGAAAACUAUUCUUAGUUCGGAUUGUACUCUGCAACUCGAGUACAUGAAGUUGGAAUCGCUAGUAAUCGCGAAUCAGCAAUGUCGCGGUGAAUACGUUCUCGGGUCUUGUACACACCGCCCGUCACACCACGAGAGUUGGUUGCACCUGAAGUAGCAGGCCUAACCGUAAGGAGGGAUGCUCCGAGGGUGUGAUUAGCGAUUGGGGUGAAGUCGUAACAAGGUAUCCGUACGGGAACGUGCGGAUGGAUCACCUCCUUUCUAAGGAGAAUAUGUCUUUCUCUAUUCUAUUGGUAAUGUUCUUUACAUUACUUCUGAACAUUGGAAACUAUAUAGUAGAACAAACAAGAAAAAAAAUUAACUCUAACAAUUUCUUAGAGUUAGCUGUCAAAAAAAUAGGUUAAAAUAAUUAAGGGCACACAAAGGAUGCCUUGGUAGUAAGAGCCG